GUGCCAGCCGCCGCGGUAAUACGGAGGUGGCAAGCGUUGUUCGGAAUUACUGGGCGUAAAGGGCGCGUAGGCGGCUUGGCAAGUCAGAUGUGAAAGCCCCGAGCUUAACUUGGGAACUGCAUCUGAAACUGCUUAGCUUGAGUCCUGGAGGGGAUAGUGGAAUUCCCAGUGUAGCGGUGAAAUGCGUAGAUAUUGGGAGGAACACCUGCGGCGAAGGCGGCUAUCUGGACAGUGACUGACGCUGAGGCGCGAAAGCUAGGGGAGCGAACGGGAUUAGAAACCCGGGUAGUCC
Molecule: ribosomal RNA, 292 nt
Filed under: uncultured bacterium
Lineage: Bacteria
Description: partial 16S ribosomal RNA
Rfam family: Bacterial small subunit ribosomal RNA
Source: RNAcentral